Molecule: non-coding RNA, 496 nt
Filed under: Pongo abelii (Sumatran orangutan)
Lineage: Eukaryota; Metazoa; Chordata; Mammalia; Primates; Hominidae
Source: RNAcentral
ACAGAUGAGGAUGAAAUUUGGGCUUGACUGAAGUAAUGGGGGCUGUCUGUGAAGCCUUGCGGCAGUACAGCCCAGUCUAUCUUUGUUGAAUUUUGGUAUUGAUUUUAUGUGUCAGUACCUGAGAAGUAGAGAAGUCCUUGAGUUGUUGUGUAAAUGUGGCUCAAGUGAGAUGCUGAACAGUGCCAGCCAUGUGGACUCUGCCACGGUGAAGGAGGAAGGCAGCACUGAGGAGUAAAGGAAUAUUUGGGAGGAUCAGAAGCUUGGUCCUGAUUUUGCCAUCAACCAGGACCUUGAUGACUUCAAGGGAGUCCCCAAACCCUGGGUUUCUGUUUUCUCAACUCUAACAUGAGGGGCUAGACGCAUCUGGUUUAGUUCGUCUCCAUGAUCCUGUGAAUUUCAGAUGUUGAAAAUCUUCAGAAAAGCCCUGAAAGAUGAAGAGUGGUCUCAAAUAGUCAAGACCCCCUGCUGGGGGGAGCGUCUAUCCUGCUCUGUGGAA